This 484-nucleotide ribosomal RNA is filed under the name uncultured bacterium. RNAcentral describes it as "partial 16S ribosomal RNA". It matches the Rfam family "Bacterial small subunit ribosomal RNA", at positions 28 to 523 of the family's 1533-position model. The record is from RNAcentral.
GAUGAACGCUGGCGGCGUGCUUAACACAUGCAAGUCGAACGGAAAGGCCCAAGCUUGCUUGGGUACUCGAGUGGCGAACGGGUGAGUAACACGUGGGUGAUCUGCCCUGCACUUCGGGAUAAGCCUGGGAAACUGGGUCUAAUACCGGAUAGGACGAUGGUUUGGAUGCCAUUGUGGAAAGUUUUUUCGGUGUGGGAUGAGCUCGCGGCCUAUCAGCUUGUUGGUGGGGUAAUGGCCUACCAAGGCGUCGACGGGUAGCCGGCCUGAGAGGGUGUACGGCCACAUUGGGACUGAGAUACGGCCCAGACUCCUACGGGAGGCAGCAGUGGGGAAUAUUGCACAAUGGGCGCAAGCCAGAUGCAGCGACGCCGCGUGGGGGAUGACGGCCUUCGGGUUGUAAACUCCUUUCGCUAGGGACGAAGCGUUUUUGUGACGGUACCUGGAGAAGAAGCACCGGCUAACUACGUGCCAGCAGCCGCGGUAA